GUGAAUCAUCAAAUUUUUGAACGCAAAUUGCACCCUCCUCGGAGAGUAUGCCUGUUUGAGGGCCAGCCUAUAAAAAAUCGACAUCGUUGCUGUUUCGCGGUGGCGCUCGUCGGAAAUUGGGUCAUCUUAAAUCUUUUGGUUUUACGCGACGUAUAAUUUUCUUUUUGGUUCCAUGAAAGCUUCUAAGAUU
This 190-nucleotide unclassified non-coding RNA is filed under the name Glomeraceae sp. RNAcentral describes it as "partial contains 5.8S ribosomal RNA and internal transcribed spacer 2". The stretch from base 1 to 65 matches the Rfam family "5.8S ribosomal RNA", at positions 84 to 154 of the family's 154-position model. The record is from RNAcentral. Lineage: Eukaryota; Fungi; Glomeromycota; Glomeromycetes; Glomerales; Glomeraceae.